AGUGAACGCUGGCGGUAGGCCUAACACAUGCAAGUCGAACGGCAGCACAUUAAGCGCUUGCUCUUACGGUUGGCGAGUGGCGGACGGGUGAGGCAUACAUCGGCAUCUACUUUUUCGGGGGGGAUAACGUAGGGAAACUUCUGCUAAUACAUCAUACGACCUACGGGUGAAAGCAGGGGAUCUUCGGACCUUUCGCGAUUGAAUGAGCCGAUGUUGGAUUAGCUAGUUGGCGGGGUAAAGGCCCACCAAGGCGACGAUACAUAGCUGGCCUGAGAGGAUGAUCGGCCACAUUGGAACUGAGACACGGCCCAGACUCCUACGGGAGGCAGCAGUGGGGAAUCUUCGGCAAUGGACGAAAGCCUGACCGAGCAACGCCGCGUGAGUGAAGAAGGCUUUCGGGUCGUAAAGCCCUUUUGUUGGAAAAGAAAGUCGGUGGGUUAGGACCGCGCUUUAAGGACGGGACCCAAAGAAGAAACACAGGCUAACUUACGU
RNAcentral lists this ribosomal RNA (492 nucleotides) under uncultured bacterium. RNAcentral describes it as "partial 16S ribosomal RNA". It matches the Rfam family "Bacterial small subunit ribosomal RNA", at positions 29 to 506 of the family's 1533-position model. The record is from RNAcentral.